CUCUCUGUUUUGUGUCCUUGUCUCUUUCUGCAGGUGGUGAGGGCCAUUAACACUUUCCUGCUGUACAGGGUCAUCCUCCUGGGAGACCUGGACCCCAUCAUGGCUGGAUUUGCAGCCCUGGGCUUCCCCAACUGCGGCGGAAGGGGAGCUAUUGAUGGAACCCACAUCCCCAUUCAUGCCCCCAACCACCGUGCUGCCUAGUAUAUAAACUGAAACCAUAUUUUUCUAUGGUCCUGCAGGCCCUGGUCGACCACUGUGGACAGUUUUCAGACAUUUUCAUCGGAUGGUUGGGGAGGGCGCACAAUGCCCGCGUGUUCCACAACUCUAGUCUCUACCAGAAGCUGGAGAAUAUCUGAGCCUAUGCCAAGCUGAGAGGGAUGAGCUAUUUUUCUGACAACUAGGGGAUUGUUCCUGGAGGCUUUUGGGGAAGAAUAUAUUUGCAAAUUCUCAAAGCUAGUCUUGGUGAUUUCUGGUGCAAAUGGAAAGGUGCAAGAGUUAUGUAUCCCUGGAGAAAGGAAUCAUCUGUCAGUCAUCAAUACAAUUAUUUUUAAAUAAUUUCUCACACAUUUGACUGCAGCCUGCUGAGCUCAGUAAGGCCAUGUGUGGCAGGCCACCCAUGCACAAGAAGAUGAAGGAUUGGGCAUCUACAUACACAGAAAAGAAGACACAGAUGAAUAAAAUGAUGGCAAAAGUGGUUUAAAAUGCACUGAAAAGAGCUGCUUCUUCCCCCAAUCAUUUUAGCUGUCUUGCUGUAUUUUUUUUUAUUUAAAUAUUUUACUUUAGUUUCUGUCUUUAGUUUGUUUUUCGUUUUCCUAGUGCUUUCAUGAUCAGGUGCUGAGCAAUAGGGAGCAUUUGGAGAUUAUUUGUGGACUGCUAGCCUAGAGGGGUGAGUUUUAACAAGGCAUCUGUUAUGUUUCUCCAGUGUGUUCACAGCAGGAGGACUCUGUGUGCUUGCAUACUGAAGGGUGGAGUAAAUCAGCACUGUGUAUUAAAUACCCAUAGGCAGCUAUGUGGGUGGGGCAUUUAUACUAGCUCAUCUAAAGAUAAAAGUGUUUUUCUUUCUUCUCUAAUACUUGUUUUUUCUUUACUAAAUUGUUCAGAAAUCCUUCUGUUCAAAUGUCCUGUCUCUUUGUGUUAUGUGAGGCAUCCCAAGUGGUUGCAUUACAUAAUUAUUUAUGUGAUGUAACAAGAGAGGAUGCUUUUCAGUAUGAUACAUUAGCUGUGGAAAUGUGAAGGGAAGUUUUCUAAAUCAAAGAAAAAAACGCAUGUUCAUAGAAAUCUAAAAAUAAAAAUGCUUUUAACCUUCUUUUCUAGCCUUUCCUACUCCCAGUGUGCAAAGAUUUCUCUAAUCUGAAAGAAAAUUAUCUAUUUGCAGGACUUUUUUUGUAAAUAAUAAAUAUAAGCAUGGUGAGUUG
Molecule: non-coding RNA, 1415 nt
Organism: Pelodiscus sinensis (Chinese soft-shelled turtle)
Lineage: Eukaryota; Metazoa; Chordata; Testudines; Trionychidae
Source: RefSeq, a predicted model, not a curated record